This 256-nucleotide ribosomal RNA is filed under the name uncultured bacterium. RNAcentral's name for it is "partial 16S ribosomal RNA". It matches the Rfam family "Bacterial small subunit ribosomal RNA", at positions 524 to 776 of the family's 1533-position model. The record is from RNAcentral.
UACAGAGACCUCAAGCGUUAUCCGGAAUCAUUGGGCGUAAAGCGUUCCGAUAGGUGGUUGAAAUAGUCUUGGGUAAAAGCCAGAAGCUCAACUUCUGCGUUUGCUUAAGAUACUUUUCAACUAGAGGGGCAAAGAGGUGCUUGGAACGAACGGUGUAGUAGUGAAAUGCGUUGAUAUCGGGAGGAACACCGGUGGCGAAGGCGGCCUUCUGGACGGAUACUGACGCUGAUACGCGAAAGCGUGGGGAGCAAACAGG